CGGUGCUCAGGCGGGGAGGUAGCGGUGCCCUGUUGCCCGCAAUCCGCUAUAGCGGGGCCGACAUCCCCGGCCGAGGCCGGGCCGCCGUUCGCGAGCGUUUGCAUUCGCCGGUGUUGAAGGCCGGGUCCUGUGCAAGGCCGGCGCGCCGAACCCCGCCAGGCCCGAGAGGGAGCAACGGCAGGCGUGUUUGACCUGUGCCGCGGGGUUGCCUGGCCGGAGCCGCGACGCGACGCGACGUGGACGGGCUGGUGGUCGAACCGGGGCGCACCG
RNAcentral lists this signal recognition particle RNA (270 nucleotides) under Bacteroidota bacterium. RNAcentral describes it as "Bacteroidetes bacterium (marine metagenome) signal recognition particle sRNA large type". It matches the Rfam family "Bacterial large signal recognition particle RNA". From Rfam's summary of the family: The signal recognition particle (SRP) is a universally conserved ribonucleoprotein involved in the co-translational targeting of proteins to membranes. Archaeal SRP consists of a 7S RNA and homologues of the eukaryotic SRP19 and SRP54 proteins. The record is from RNAcentral. Lineage: Bacteria; Pseudomonadati; Bacteroidota.